Non-coding RNA from Umbelopsis sp. PMI_123, 74 nucleotides. The record is from the annotation of a GenBank genome assembly. NCBI's taxonomy places the organism in Eukaryota, Fungi, Mucoromycota, Umbelopsidomycetes, Umbelopsidales, Umbelopsidaceae.
GCUCCUUUAGAUGAGUUGGUUACAUCAUCUGCUUUACACGCAGAAGGUCACCAGUUCGAUCCUGGUAGGGGGCA